CUUUUAUUUCACUAUCUCUAUCCCUCUGGCAUUUUUCUUUUCAAAAAUUUCUUUUUUGUAUCAUCUUCUAGAUUGAGAGAGAAUCAACUACUAAGAGAUGUACAAAAAUUAUGAUUGUGUACAUCUAUUCGGAAGUCGCAAUGAAAUAACAAAAUCCUAUCAGCACUCGACAGAUUCAAUGUUCUCUUGAAAAGCUUAUUUGCCGCAACCACUAGAUGGAAAAGUGUCAACACACAUUGCAUGUCUAUUUGAGGACAAUUAAUUUGAACUAUGACUCGACAAGUUUCCAGAAGGUUUGUUUCGAGGAAGAGAAAUACCAGUGUCUAGAUCCACAAUUUUCAUCUCGGCAUUCCUUAUAACUGUGCCACAUGCCCCUGAUUUUAUCUCAAAAGGUUCUUUUGCGAAUGCCAAGCACAUUGUUAUCGGUGCACCGGCCUCCGUCAUUCCGUAGCCCUAUUAGAUUAAGAAUUUAAAUUCUAUACGCACUGAUUAGGUGUAAUAAUAAAUAUAUUUACACAUUGACGUAAUUAUAAAUACUUAUGAAUUCUAUUUCUAUUUUAUUUA
This is a long non-coding RNA of Solanum dulcamara, 564 nucleotides long. RefSeq lists it as uncharacterized. The record is from RefSeq and is a predicted model, not a curated record. Lineage: Eukaryota; Viridiplantae; Streptophyta; Magnoliopsida; Solanales; Solanaceae. The transcript is spliced from 4 exons.